Molecule: long non-coding RNA, 380 nt
Organism: Mytilus trossulus (common blue mussel)
Lineage: Eukaryota; Metazoa; Mollusca; Bivalvia; Mytilida; Mytilidae
Exons: 3
Source: RefSeq, a predicted model, not a curated record
ACAUAAACACAAAAGAUGAUCAGCCUUUUUUAAACAAAACUCAUUGAGAAGAAUGGGCUGUAAUCAGUCAAAGGUUGACGACGAUGAGAAAGCUGUGGAAUAUGUCGAUUAUUGUUGAAUUCUGAUUUUUCUGAAAAAUGGGCGUGUCGUUUAGUGGUAGAAAACCAAAACUUGUCAAUCAAAGAACAUCUGAUUUGGAUAUUUUUAAACAUACAGAUGAUUUGGUGGUUUACGAUCUUGAGGAAGAAAAUGAAACAGAUAAUUUCGCGAAUCAUAAAGACGUAGUAGAAUGUCCACCAAGGUAUCCGACAGCAUUAGCACCUACAGCUAGAAGAAAGGAUGUAUCAUAUUUAGAAAAAUACAAAGAAGCAACAGAGAGA